RNAcentral lists this ribosomal RNA (328 nucleotides) under Alpova corsicus. RNAcentral's name for it is "partial small subunit ribosomal RNA". The record is from RNAcentral. Lineage: Eukaryota; Fungi; Basidiomycota; Agaricomycetes; Boletales; Melanogastraceae.
UAAUUAUCUCAAAUAAUAAUUCUAAGUAACAAAUUAUUUACUUAAUUAGUAAGUAAAAUUACUUAGUUAAUUAGUACAAACAAAAUUUCAUAAUAAUUAAAUUAAUAUAAUAUAAUUAAUUUGAAAAAAUGUAUUAGUUUACAAAUUAGAUUAAUCUGAAAUGAUUAUAUAAUAUAUGCUUACAAAUUAUAUGUACUAUUUUAAUUAUUAUCAGUAACAGAUUUAUAAUUAUUAUAGAAUAACUGAUCUAAUUUUAUAAACGUGAUUAUUAAAAUUUUUAAACCCAACGAAUUCAAUUUAGUAACAUCUCAAAAGUCAUAGCAAGGUA